GAUGAAGAACGUAGCGAAAUGCGAUAAGUAAUGUGAAUUGCAGAAUUCAGUGAAUCAUCGAAUCUUUGAACGCACAUUGCGCCCGCUGGUAUUCCGGCGGGCAUGCCUGUUCGAGCGUCAUUUCAACCCUCAAGCUCUCCGGAGUUUGGUGUUGGGGCGCCUGGGGCUUUUCGACCUCAGGGCCCUCAAGUCCAUCGGCGGGACCGCCAGGACACUGAGCGCAGUAGUAUUAUUUCGCUCGGUAGGAUCUUCCACGGCGGGUCGAUCUGGCCGCUAAACCCCCCAAUUCUCACCAAAGGUUGACCUCGGAUCAGGUAGGAAUACCCGCUGAACUUAAGCAUAUCAAUAAGCGGGGGA
This 357-nucleotide unclassified non-coding RNA is filed under the name soil metagenome. RNAcentral's name for it is "partial contains 5.8S ribosomal RNA, internal transcribed spacer 2, and large subunit ribosomal RNA". The stretch from base 1 to 120 matches the Rfam family "5.8S ribosomal RNA", at positions 35 to 154 of the family's 154-position model. The record is from RNAcentral.